Long non-coding RNA from Triticum aestivum (bread wheat), 4138 nucleotides. RefSeq lists it as uncharacterized. Lineage: Eukaryota; Viridiplantae; Streptophyta; Magnoliopsida; Poales; Poaceae. The transcript has 5 exons. The record is from RefSeq and is a predicted model, not a curated record.
UUACAUAGAGGAGCAGGGGAGGGCCAAGAGGCCGUCGGUGGGGUUGGAUCAGCUAGGCCGGAGACCUCUCAUUGCUUAGGCCCCAUGGCAGCAGCCGGAUCGGGGCGGCGGCGGAAGGCCAUGGAGGGUGUGGUGCAUGCGGGCGAAACCAACAUGGGUUGGUGGAGCAACGGAUGCGGGCAUGGUCAGCGGUUAGGGGCACUGCGAGGAGUGGAAGGCAGAGGGUAGGGGCAGAAAGCCGUGGCGAGUCCUCGGAGAGGAGAGGAAGGCGACGGUUCAGCCCGUGGUGUUGGGAAGAGAGAGAUGUGGAUGGCGGCGUUGUGCAAAGAGAGAUGGCGGCGGCGCUGAGUAGAGAGAGAUGACUGCGGCAGCGGUGGCGCUGAGUAGAGAGAGAUGACGUCCAUAAUCUUGCGGAGGUGUUCCUCAACCUACAUGAGGCACCCCAAGUGUGGGAAGAAUAAAAUGUAAUUCAAUCGUUGGGUGUAUUGUUCAGAUGAGUUCGUCCUGUGCUAGAAGCUGCAGGAAUUCAGUUUGUUUCUGGUUUUUUGGAAGUCAUAGAUUGUUUUGUGCCGGAGACAGGACAAGUAAUGCUCUAACCUUGGCAGCAAAAAUGGUCUAAAUUUCAUAUAGAAGGCCCUAGAAUACUUUGCAUGUGUUCAUUCAAAUAUAUGGAGUUGACCUGUAUGUGUUGCUUCUGUGCACACUAUGUUUCAUAUGAGUUUGUAGGAGAGAAACUCUAUAAUGGUAAUGAAGUAUUGUCGAUAUUUACUCUGUUGCUUAAGGCCUAGGCAUCCUUUUGGAUGCAGUUAUGGUAGCAUGUGUGUUUGAGAGAAGUGGAUGGAAAAUUGGGGACUGAAACAAGUGGCGAAGAAAGUUAUUAGUUGAUUCUCACAUCAGAUAGAAGUUGUCUCACGAAUGUUUAUUUAUUUAGUGACCAGGCAUGAGAUCUGGAAUAUUGAAGAGCAACAAUUGGCAGAAGUAUUAGAUGAGUUUGGGAAUACAUGGUCAUGUAUGGAGUAUUUUCAUGAUUAGUUUUCCAUCGCUCGGCUCCUGAAGGCAUGAUGCCUCAUUUCAAUUCUCUUAUCUUGAUGUGUUUGUAUUCAGAAAAUUAAGGCAUGAUUCAUCAUUUAGAUUAUCUUAUCUCCGUGUGUUUGUAUUCAGAAAAUCAAUUUGCUUAUUUUUUGCUUUCUUAGGGCUAUAAAAAGAGGAAACUCCAUCGCUAAAAAUCUUUUAAAGAGAUUGAGGAUAAAAAAAUCCAAGCAAACUCCGCUUUUCUCCCGUAUUUUUUGUGCGCGCCUUAAUCUGUGUUGGGAGAAAGAUAUUGCUCUUUGUUCAGAAAAUGUUUAUUAGAUGGAAAAUACUCAGCAUUUAAAUUUUUUUCUUCAGAUGUUUUGGGUUUUUUUAGUAGGCUGCUCGACAGGUCUUGCGUUUUUUGCAAGAUUUGUAUGGAUUCGUGGUUCAUGACUAUAACUAUGAAUGUAUGAUGGCCUAUAGGAGAUAUGUCCGUUCUUUAAUGAUCAUUGCGGUUUCUUUGAUUCCUACUAUGCUAGUUAUUCUGUCUGUAGGCCAGCAUAUUAUUUUAAUUCUUUCUAACUGCCUUUCUAUACGUAGAAAUGCACACCUACUUCCAAGCUUAGUACUGGUCUCCUUGCAGUUACAACCCCGAGGUUUAGCUUCUGAAACAGUCUGCUAACAUAUGCUUAACUACUUAAAUGCACUGAUGUUUGUGUGUUCUUUUGUAGAAAAUCGCCAUGCCCAGACGGCAGUGCCAGGUGUGCCUUAUUUCAAGCUGCUGAGAAGAAAACCGCUGCACCAGAAGAACCUAUGCAGAAGCUUGAUGCAGAAGACGAGGUGAGCUCUGGUGGUAAAGCUGAAGCUUCUUCACCUCCUGUUGAAGAGAAGGAUGGUAAAUAUGGCCAGGCUCAAGUGACCAGGAAUAAAUGGUGCUGCUUUUUAUGUUGUCCAUCUAUCUAUGCAUCCUUCAGUUUGUACCGGCAUAACAAAUAUUCAUUUCUGACUAUAAAACUUUCAGUUAAGAAACUCCACUGCUGGAAAGGGAGCUGGGGCACUAAAGAAACCGGGAUAAACUAUCUAUAGAUACAAUAGCAAAUUGCUCUAAAUUCAUUUUCAGUUAUCAUCUCUGGCCUUUCUAUUUCUAAGACCAUCCUUCUCGCUGUUGUCUAUUAUAUAAUCUUAGUUUCUCCUUGAUGACAUCGCAAGAAAAGAAUGGUGGUCUUAUGCGAGUCGCUUCGCCAUCCAACAACACUCCAUUGCACUACUUUUUGUCCAGCUUCAAGCCGAGCCAGUGAAUGUGUGUUCCUUGCAUGACGUUUAGUAUAACCAAAUGCUUCUUAUUAAGUAUGCUUUCAAAACUAGAGUAUUUGGCUGCUCAUGUAGCUCUGCCAAAGCAAUGCAAAAAAACUACAUUUUAUGCUUUCAGUUAGGGUGGAUUUGUGUCUUCAGAGAUGAGGCAACCUUACGUGUACAUAUUCACAGAUACUUCCUCCGUUCCUAAAUAGAAGUCUUUAGAGAUUUAAAUACGGACUACACACAAAGCAAAAUGAGUGAAUCUACACUCUAAACUGUGUCCCUUUAUCACACUUCCAGCAGACAUGAGUUCUCGUGUUUUUACAGCUUUGUGGCAACAUGAUUCGAUGCAGAAGAUUCAACUAUGUAAAUUGGAAUAAAGAAAAUUAAACACUCAGGUCAAUGGACUGUUCUUUUAUUUGUCUAUGGAACAACUCUUCUUGUACAUGUUUGUGCUCUGUUCCAUAGCAUGCUAGUGCUCUGACCACUUCAUAUCCAUGUAUUUAGCAGGUUCUACGAUCUCUUGUGUUGCACUGUUGCUGCGUCUCGAUCUCCUGCUUUGUUGCAUCUUUGUUCUGCUCCUUGAUGUUUGCUUACUUUCUGUCUAGCUAAAAUGCUUUUCUGGAUCUGGCAAGGCCCCGUGUAUUGUUCGUCCUCAUGCUGCUUAUAUUCCAUGCUUGCAUGUGAGCAGGAUGCGUCUACUUAUUUGAGUACAUACAGACAUGCUUCUUUAGUGUGCCCUUCUAUCAUCUCAUAGUUAUCUUAUUUGUUGUUCUAAAUAAUUAUUGCAGGAGGGAGCAGCAGGCAAAAGAAAAUCCAAAGCAAAUUUUGCUCAGCUGUAGCGUCUUCCACUAACAAUAAGUCUGCACAGCAGCCUGAUAGGGAUAUGAGGAGACAGCUCUAUUGUUGGUAGUGACUGCAAACAUGGACUCCUCUUCGCUGGACGGGGAAAACAAAAAUAAUAAUCUAGUAGGCAGUAAAAUUACAUGGCUGAUCUCGGUUUUGUACAUCUUAGGUGAGCAUUAUGAGUUCUACUUCCCAUAAGAGAGUGUAUUUUGGUGCUACAGAUUGUUUCUAUCUUAGAGCAAGAAGCCAAAUCAUGUCGUUCAUUGUAAAUCUUGAAAAACUUGUUUAUUGUCACUUCUAUAUCUGUUAUAAACUUUUGUUCCUGGUGUGGUACUUGUCAAUCUUGGUUUGCCCUUCCAUUUCAAAUUUGCCCUUCCACUGCAGCAAUAUGUCAAUCUUGUGUUCUUGAAUUGAUUCCUCAUUUCAUGUCUGCACUUCUAUUACAGUAGAACAUGUUAUAAACAUGGCCCUGGGCAUUGUUUGUCCAAUAACCUUCAAAAGAGAAGAGAUGGCUAUAGAGAGUGGCUCCAUCACUAAAGAGAUGACAAAUGUUGUGCAAGGCAUUGUUUGUUCAGCUCCUUUCAAAAAAUGAAGGAAUUACAGUGCAUGUGACCUAUAUAGGGGAUGUGAAGGACAAAUUGCUAUGGAUCCAAAGUGGGAGGGGAGAGUUACCAACAACGUAUAUGGACAAAGCAUGACAUGGAUUCCCAAGUUCUAGCUUACAUAGCAAAAUUAUAUAGAGAGAAUGCCCGCAUUUUGAAAACUCCAUUACAUAGUUCGAAGCUAUUUUCUUUCAAUUUUCAUUAUUAAAAGGAUUCUAUUAUUGCCAAUCUGUUAACAAUUUAUUGUGAAAUUAUUAAGGAUAAUUAAUCCCAGCAGUUAAUCAGGGAAAUCCCCGUUUCCCCUCACCUGCGGUUGCAACUCCAGCAACCAGCGUGACAGUUCACAGUUCCUUCCAUCCCUACGCAUCUCAGGAGGCGCCUCU